UGUUCUACUAUGAUUAGCACAUCAUAUUCUACCAUUAAAACAGUAACUCAUUAAAUAAAAAAUGAUUUUUCGAAUUAAAAAAAAGGCCGAAAAUAGUGCGUAAAUAAAAAAUAAUUAUAAAAAAAUAUAAAAUCAUAUCCAAAAUCUGUAAAAUGGACAUUAAUAUGUUCUACUAUGAUUAACACAUCAUAUUCUACCAUUAAAACAACAACACAUUAAAUAAAAAAUGAUUUUUUGAAUUAAAAAAGCAGGGCCGAAAAUAUUGCGUAAAUAGAAAAAAAUUAUAAAAAAAUAUAAAAUCACAAUAAGAAUCUGUAAAAUGGACAUUAAUAUGUUUUAUUAUGAUUAACACAUCAUAUUCUACCAUUAAAACAGCAACAUAUUAAAUAAAAAAUGAUUUUUUUGAAUUUUUUUUAAAAAAGGGCUAAAAAUAGUGCGUAAAUAGAAAAAAAUUAUUAAAAAAAUAUAAAAUCACAAUAAAAAUCUGUAAAAUGGACAUUAAUAUGUUCUAUUAUGAUUAACACAUCAUAUUCUACCAUUAAAACAGCAACACAUUAAAUAAAAAAUGAUUUUUCGAAUUUAAAAAAAAGGGCCGAAAAUAAAAAUAAUUAUAAAAAAAUAUAAAAUCACAUCCAAAAUCUGUAAAAUGGACAUUAAUAUGUUCUACUAUGAUUAACACAUCAUAUUCUACCAUUAAAACAGCAACACAUUAAAUAAAAAAUGAUUUUUCCAAUUUAACAAAAAAGGGCCGAAAAGAGUGCGUAAAUAGAAAAAAAUAUAUAUAUAUAUAUCUAAUCAGAAUAAGAAUCUGUAAAAUGGACAUUAAUAUGUUCUAUUAUGAUUAACACAUCAUAUUCUACCAUUAAAACAACAACACAUUAAAUAAAAAAUGAUUUUUCGAUUUUUUUUAAAAAAGGGCCGAAAAUAUUGCGUAAAUAGAAAAAAAUUAUAAAAAAAUAGAAAAUCACAAUAAGAAUCUGUAAAAUGGACAUUAAUACGUUCUAUUAUGAUUAACACAUCAUAUUCUACCAUUAAAACAGCAACACAUUAAAUAAAAAAUGAUUUUUCGAAUUUAAAACGAAG
This is a long non-coding RNA of Magnolia sinica, 1083 nucleotides long. RefSeq lists it as uncharacterized. Lineage: Eukaryota; Viridiplantae; Streptophyta; Magnoliopsida; Magnoliales; Magnoliaceae. The transcript is spliced from 2 exons. The record is from RefSeq and is a predicted model, not a curated record.